Molecule: long non-coding RNA, 583 nt
Filed under: Mytilus galloprovincialis (Mediterranean mussel)
Lineage: Eukaryota; Metazoa; Mollusca; Bivalvia; Mytilida; Mytilidae
Source: RNAcentral
GUUAGCUUGCUAUAUUUGAUAUCUCCCAAGUACCAUCCCACUAUGAACUGCUUAUACAAAAAGAUAUUUUGUCACCAAAUGAUUUAUAAUAAUUUAUAAAAUAGAACAUCAUUAUAUAUGCUAAUAUAAAUUGUGUGCCCUUGGCUAAAUACUGGGAUCAUAUUGUUUUACCAGUGUCCUUUCGACAGUCCCGCACUUGGUAUACUAGCUAGUAUAGGAUUAUACGGCUGAUUUCGUAGGAUUAUGUACAGUUUUUAAGCUUAAACUUUUAAAUGAUGUACCUGGUGUUAGUACAUACACUAACGAUUCGCAUCUUGUCAAUUUUUUCUUUUUUUUUUUUAUGACAGGUUGCAAAAUUUGGCAUUUUUUAAAUAUAUUGCGCCGAUAUAUUUUUUUUACCUAUUUUGAGGGUGCAUAUAUAUUCUCAGGAUCAUUUUUUCUUUAAUGAUUUUUCACGAACGACAGAAUGUUGAACUUGGUGUAUUUGAGUGAAAUUUUGCAUACAGUUUGCAAGGUUUGUCCGACCAUGGAAGUAUAUAAUACUUCCACUUCCAUGGUCCGACUAACUACGCACACAACCCAC